This 716-nucleotide ribosomal RNA is filed under the name Salmonella enterica. RNAcentral's name for it is "partial 23S ribosomal RNA". It matches the Rfam family "Bacterial large subunit ribosomal RNA", at positions 678 to 1306 of the family's 2925-position model. Lineage: Bacteria; Pseudomonadati; Pseudomonadota; Gammaproteobacteria; Enterobacterales; Enterobacteriaceae. The record is from RNAcentral.
CGAGUCUUAAUUGGGCGUUAAGUUGCAGGGUAUAGACCCGAAACCCGGUGAUCUAGCCAUGGGCAGGUUGAAGGUUGGGUAACACUAACUGGAGGACCGAACCGACUAAUGUUGAAAAAUUAGCGGAUGACCUGUGGCUGGGGGUGAAAGGCCAAUCAAACCGGGAGAUAGCUGGUUCUCCCCGAAAGCUAUUUAGGUAGCGCCUCGUGAAUUCAUCUCCGGGGGUAGAGCACUGUUUCGGCUAGGGGGCCAUCCCGGCUUACCAACCCGAUGCAAACUGCGAAUACCGGAGAAUGUUAUCACGGGAGACACACGGCGGGUGCUAACGUCCGUCGUGAAGAGGGAAACAACCCAGACCGCCAGCUAAGGUCCCAAAGUCAUGGUUAAGUGGGAAACGAUGUGGGAAGGCCCAGACAGCCAGGAUGUUGGCUUAGAAGCAGCCAUCAUUUAAAGAAAGCGUAAUAGCUCACUGGUCGAGUCGGCCUGCGCGGAAGAUGUAACGGGGCUAAACCAUGCACCGAAGCUGCGGCAGCGAACGUAUCACCCAAGACAACUUUACGGAGUUGACGAUUGACGGAGCGAAGCGACGUCAAAGCGUUCAUUAAAGUCGAGUUGGCUUAGGGAUACGUUCGUUGGGUAGGGGAGCGUUCUGUAAGCCUGUGAAGGUGUGUCGUGAGGCAUGCUGGAGGUAUCAGAAGUGCGAAUGCUGACAUAAG